UGGGGAAUUUUGGACAAUGGGGGAAACCCUGAUCCAGCCAUCCCGCGUGCGCGAUGAAGGCCUUCGGGUUGUAAAGCACUUUUGGCAGGAAAGAAACGUCGCGGGUUAAUACCCCGCGAAACUGACGGUACCUGCAGAAUAAGCACCGGCUAACUACGUGCCAGCAGCCGCGGUAAUACGUAGGGUGCAAGCGUUAAUCGGAAUUACUGGGCGUAAAGCGUGCGCAGGCGGUUCGGAAAGAAAGAUGUGAAAUCCCAGAGCUUAACUUUUGGAACUGCAUUUUUAACUACCGGGCUAGAGUGUGUCAGAGGGAGGUGGAAUUCCGCGUGUAGCAGUGAAAUGCGUAGAUAUGCGGAGGAACACCGAUGGCGAAGGCAGCCUCCUGGGAUAACACUGACGCUCAUGCACGAAAGCGUGGGGAGCAAACAGGAUUAGAUACCCUGGUAGUCCACGCCCUAAACGAUGUCAACUAGCUGUUGGGGCCUUCGGGCCUUGGUAGCGCAGCUAACGCGUGAAGUUGACCGCCUGGGGAGUACGGUCGCAAGAUUAAAACUUAAAUGAAUUGACGGGGGUCAUAGCUGUUUCCUG
RNAcentral lists this ribosomal RNA (588 nucleotides) under uncultured bacterium. RNAcentral's name for it is "partial 16S ribosomal RNA". It matches the Rfam family "Bacterial small subunit ribosomal RNA", at positions 355 to 941 of the family's 1533-position model. The record is from RNAcentral.